Xenopus tropicalis (tropical clawed frog) is the source of this 1382-nucleotide long non-coding RNA. RefSeq lists it as uncharacterized. The record is from RefSeq and is a predicted model, not a curated record. NCBI's taxonomy places the organism in Eukaryota, Metazoa, Chordata, Amphibia, Anura, Pipidae. The transcript has 2 exons.
GUCAUGUUCAAAGGCGGAGCCACGGGCAUUGACUGGACGGACGAGUUGGCGUCGCUAUGUUGUGUGUUGAAACAGGUUUUGAGUAAAAAAACAUCACUGACUAAUAAUUUUAGUCUGAAUGUGGAAUGAAACCAGUCGGUAACUACAGGAACCCCACAGAGAGGCUGCACAUAAGAGGAUGGCACAUCCUGGCAGAAUGACAUGGAUCCCCCCACAUGAGCAUUUCUCUCCCAAGGCCUAUUGCCAGACAAUAUCUUGCCCAUCAAUUUGUGGUGGUGUUGCCAAGUACAAAAAAAGCUUAAAACAUGUUGCACCUGGUAUCUUGAAGGUUAUAUAUCUACUUUAGGUGUAAUGUCAGCAUGUUUCAAGCUUAUGUCCUACUCUGCAACCGUGGCUGGCCAAGACUGUAACUGUAGGGGUGCACCAUAUCCCUGCAUGUUUUCCACAAUAACAUUUCAGCUAAAUCAUUUGUGCCUGACAAAAGCCAAGCCUUAAAUGUUGUCCAAAAGCAAACACAUUUUUUGGAUGAGAAUUCAGGGCUAUCCAAAACGGAUGUACUUAAUGUGUUCCUCGGCUACUACAGAGAUGAAAAGUUGCUUAAAGUAAGGUCUGAAUGUGGCAGAAAUGAGAAAAUAUACCCCCUGGGCACAGAUUCAGAGCACUAAGACAUAGAUCAUAUCCUCAUAUAAUAAAGAUGACAGCAGGCCAGGACUGGCAAUCUCUAGAUUCUUGGCAAAUGCCAGAGGGGACACUGUAAGAUGCCAUAAACAGUCAUUAUUUAUUUGGCUGGUUGGGCCUCUGUGUGCUUAAAGCCAUGGUCUGUCCCAGUACAGACCUGGAUGACAAUAUGUCAAAUGUUUAGAGAAAAAACAAGUCUACCGUAGUUUUUCAACUGUGUUGGAGGAAUAAAUGUCUUUACAGGGUUAUUUUCAAAAUAUCUUACCUCCCAACAUUUUGAAAAUGGAAAGAGGGAUAAAAAUAAAUAUACAAAUUUGUAUAGUUGCACUCAGCACUGUUCAGACCUACCUGCUUUCCAGCUGAUUGGGGCGCUGCUGCAUCUAUUGACACAUGGUAACCCCAGAGCUACCUCCGGACCAGCCAGUAGCUCUAGGGGUUCUCAGCACCCUACAUGAAUAGGCACAGCACACCUGGGCUAAAAGAGUAUGGAGCAUAUGUCACUUUCACACCAAACACCUCAAUAAGGAUGGGAUUCUAGGGAAAGUGGUGCAUUGUGGGCAAAAAAAACAUGGUGAUUGCGCUGGAAAUUGCACUUUGAUUAAUGCCUUGGUAAGUGAAUGCACCCUAUAUUUUGGCUCUGGAGUUGCCCAGUUGUACAAAACCAUUACCAUUUUCAAAGGUAAUAAAUACUUGUUUAAAUGGUG